GCAGGCCUAACACAUGCAAGUCGAGCGGUAGCACAGAGAGCUUGCUCUCGGGUGACGAGCGGCGGACGGGUGAGUAAUGUCUGGGAAACUGCCUGAUGGAGGGGGAUAACUACUGGAAACGGUAGCUAAUACCGCAUAACGUCGCAAGACCAAAGUGGGGGACCUUCGGGCCUCAUGCCAUCAGAUGUGCCCAGAUGGGAUUAGCUAGUAGGUGGGGUAACGGCUCACCUAGGCGACGAUCCCUAGCUGGUCUGAGAGGAUGACCAGCCACACUGGAACUGAGACACGGUCCAGACUCCUACGGGAGGCAGCAGUGGGGAAUAUUGCACAAUGGGCGCAAGCCUGAUGCAGCCAUGCCGCGUGUGUGAAGAAGGCCUUCGGGUUGUAAAGCACUUUCAGCGGGGAGGAAGGCGAUGAGGUUAAUAACCUCAUCGAUUGACGUUACCCUGCAGAAGAAGCACCGGCUAACUCCGUGCCAGCAGCCGCGG
Molecule: ribosomal RNA, 488 nt
Filed under: Klebsiella pneumoniae
Lineage: Bacteria; Pseudomonadati; Pseudomonadota; Gammaproteobacteria; Enterobacterales; Enterobacteriaceae
Description: bacterial SSU rRNA
Rfam family: Bacterial small subunit ribosomal RNA
Source: RNAcentral